Molecule: ribosomal RNA, 484 nt
Filed under: uncultured bacterium
Lineage: Bacteria
Description: partial 16S ribosomal RNA
Rfam family: Bacterial small subunit ribosomal RNA
Source: RNAcentral
AUUGAACGCUGGCGGCAGGCCUAACACAUGCAAGUCGAGCGGAUGAAGGGAGCUUGCUCCUGGAUUCAGCGGCGGACGGGUGAGUAAUGCCUAGGAAUCUGCCUGGUAGUGGGGGAUAACGUCCGGAAACGGGCGCUAAUACCGCAUACGUCCUGAGGGAGAAAGUGGGGGAUCUUCGGACCUCACGCUAUCAGAUGAGCCUAGGUCGGAUUAGCUAGUUGGUGGGGUAAAGGCCUACCAAGGCGACGAUCCGUAACUGGUCUGAGAGGAUGAUCAGUCACCCUGGAACGGAGACACGGUCCAGACUCCUACGGGAGGCAGCAGUGGGGAAUAUUGGACAAUAGGCGAAAGCCUGAUCCAGCCAUGCCGCGUGUGUGAAGAAGGUCUUCGGAUUGUAAAGCACUUUAAGUUGGGAGGAAGGGCAGUAAGUUAAUACCUUGCUGUUUUGACGUUACCAACAGAAUAAGCACCGGCUAACUUCGUG